Molecule: ribosomal RNA, 513 nt
Filed under: uncultured bacterium
Lineage: Bacteria
Description: bacterial SSU rRNA
Rfam family: Bacterial small subunit ribosomal RNA
Source: RNAcentral
AACGAACGCUGGCGGCACGCCUAACACAUGCAAGUCGAACGAGGUCAUUCUUUCGGGGAUGUUCCUAGUGGCGGACGGGUGAGUAACGCGUGGGAAUCUGCCUGAUAGUGGGGGAUAACUGUUGGAAACGACAGCUAAUACCGCAUACGCUGGAGAGUAGAAAAGAGAAGCAGGAAAGGAGAGGUACCGAGGGAAAGUUUUUGGUAUUUCUGUUUUCUGAUUUGGUGAGGGAAAGGUUCUUGGAAGCCUUUUCGUUUCCUCAAGAGAGAAGUUGGGAAAGGGUGUCAAUUCUUUCUGGAUUUCUCCUGUAGCAAGAGAGGUUUUGGAAACCUUUCUGCAUUGUUUCUUUUUUCUCCUCUCCAGGAAAGAUUUUAUCGCUAUCAGAUGAGCCCGCGUCAGAUUAGGUAGUUGGUGAGGUAAAGGCUCACCAAGCCAAUGAUCUGUAGCUGGUCUGAGAGGAUGACCAGCCACACUGGGACUGAGACACGGCCCAGACUCCUACGGGAGGCAGCA